This 1265-nucleotide long non-coding RNA is filed under the name Anser brachyrhynchus (Pink-footed goose). RNAcentral's name for it is "lncRNA (ENSABRG00000006533.1)". Lineage: Eukaryota; Metazoa; Chordata; Aves; Anseriformes; Anatidae. The record is from RNAcentral.
UUAGUGCUUUCUUAAACCAUAUAUCUAAUGUGCUCUUCAGGUCCUAACCUCAGGUCCAUGGUUCUCAGGAGGCAACCUGUUUCCAGUAAAUCUGCUGGCUGAGAAGCUUCAACUCAGUCCACAACUCACAACAGAGAUCUCAGCAGUAACCACCAAGAGGAUGAUUUGAAAUAGUCACUGUCCCAUAAAGAAUGUAUCAAAUAGAAGGUUGUAACCUUUCUUCCAGCAUCUGAUGGAAAUAUAUUGUUUCAUUGUCCUGCCUUCAAGAUCAAGACACCCACCUUCUGCUCCAUGAUUCAACAUGAAAGGUAUCUAUUUUCAAGGGUGUUCCCAAAUUAAGCACAGAGAGUUUCUUCAAGCUGAACCCCAUAGCCAGGUACUCAGCAUAUUACAACUAAAUCAACAUAUUGUCUGUUAUGUUUAUGGAUUGACCAUUCUCUUGAGGGUAAAUCUUUUUUCAACAUCAGAUUCUUGUCUGUUCUGUCCUAUUGAAUCAGACCAUACAAGUCUUCAAACUUACUAAUACGAGUGUCUUUCCUAUGAAAUCCCCACUAAUCCUCACUGAACAGAGAGAGGUUGUCUUUUUACCAACUUUCCCAAAAAGCACUGCUCAAGCCAGUAAUUUGGUAGUUGGGGAUUUUCUUUCUCCUUGGAGGAGGGUUUAUUUUUGCCAUCGUGACAAAUUAACUCCUGAGACAGAUAUUGACCCAGAAAUUCCUGCAGAUGUGCUCCAAUUUAAACUAGAUCUUUGGCUGAUAUAAAUUCACAUACUUCCUGCUAAGCUUGAGGAGCAGCAAGGGCAACAAAUCUGGAGUAGAACUAGUUCUCACCCUUCUUAGUGAGUGAAGAAUUGUUCUCUACAGUGACUUCUGUAAAGUUUUAACUACAGCCAUUCUUCAAUGUUUGUUUUGUGCUAAGACCAGUUUGAUUUUUUUCCUUCAACACCCUUAUUGAUCAGACACAGCAUUGCUUUUAAUUAAGUCUUGUACCUGCUAGAGAUAAGUUGUAAGUGUAGCAUUAUUUGUUAUUUCUCCUGAUGAGGUGCAAACGUAUGGGAUUUGGAAACAACCAUAAGGACAGAAAAGUGCAGAGAUAUGCUUGAAUGCUGAAGGAGCAGAAAGAGAGAAGGUCAAGAAAGAAUUUCCUUUCCAAAGUUCACUACAAUAUACAUUUUCCUUUUGUGACUGCCUUUUUCUCUAACUGAUGCUUACCUUCCUUCCAUGUAUCACUGUUUUAACUUGUUUCUUAAGGCCCUAGGAUUUUAA